AGCAGCCGCGGUAAUUCCAGCUCCAAUAGCGUAUAUUAAAGUUGUUGCAGUUAAAAAGCUCGUAGUUGAAUUUCGGGAUUGGCGCAUCGGUCGUGCCUCACGGGGUAUGAACUGGUGCAGUCAAUUUCUCACCUUCUGGAGAACCGCGAUGUCCUUAAUUGGAUGCCGCGGGGAACCAGGACCUUUACUUUGAAAAAAUUAGAGUGUUUAAAGCAGGCAUUUUUGCUUGAAUACAUUAGCAUGGAAUAAUAAAAUAGGACGGCAUGGUUCUAUUUUGUUGGUUUCUAGGACCACCGUAAUGAUUAAUAGGGAUAGUUGGGGGCAUUAGUAUUCAAUUGUCAGAGGUGAAAUUCUUGGAUUUAUUGAAGACUAACUACUGCGAAAGCAUUUGCCAAGGAUGUUUUCAUUAAUCAAGAACGAAAGUUAGGGGAUCGAAGACGAUCAGAUACCGUCGUAGUCUUAACCAUAAACUAUGCCGACUAGGGAUCGGAUGAUGUUAAUUUUUAAUGACUCAUUCGGC
RNAcentral lists this non-coding RNA (520 nucleotides) under uncultured Glomus. Its description in RNAcentral is "SSU rRNA". It matches the Rfam family "Eukaryotic small subunit ribosomal RNA", at positions 569 to 1084 of the family's 1831-position model. RNAcentral also lists the same sequence under 1 other name. Lineage: Eukaryota; Fungi; Glomeromycota; Glomeromycetes; Glomerales; Glomeraceae. The record is from RNAcentral.